AACCAUCGGGGGGCCCGAGCUGGCGAC
Molecule: small RNA, 27 nt
Filed under: Bombyx mori (domestic silkworm)
Lineage: Eukaryota; Metazoa; Arthropoda; Insecta; Lepidoptera; Bombycidae
Description: ovarian small RNA-10294
Source: RNAcentral